Long non-coding RNA from Hyaena hyaena (striped hyena), 255 nucleotides. RefSeq lists it as uncharacterized. NCBI's taxonomy places the organism in Eukaryota, Metazoa, Chordata, Mammalia, Carnivora, Hyaenidae. The record is from RefSeq and is a predicted model, not a curated record. The transcript has 3 exons.
CUCACGCUGCCAGGCUGCACAGAGCACUGUUGGAUCUGGCUGAACGAAUUGCUUUCCCUGUCUCUGAAACAGAAAGUUCUCAUCUGCCAUCCUUGCCCCAGUUGAAGGAAAACUCAGUUUAACAAAAGAAAACAAGAGAAUAAGAGACAUGAUUGAGAAGAUAAGGAAUCUGCAGGGCAUACAAGAGAUGUAAAGGCACAGAAAUGAAGAGUAAGCUUGGAGAGUGACAGAAACUGAAAAAGUCAGGAUAACUGG